AGGUUCUGCAGUUCUAGCCUCACCAGGAGCUACAACUAGGGCAGCUGGGAAAAGUAGCUUACUAAAAUCAUUGACAGUUAGAUAAGCCUGAUGCAUCUGACACAUUUUCUACAUUAUAUGAUUACCCAGCAACUCUGGCAAGUUGGUAUAUUAUUCUCAUUCUAUUUCAAAAGAAACUGAAGCUCAUAGGCGCUUUCUGAGUCACCCAGAUCACAAAACCUGUUGGGAUAACAAUAGCUGCCUCUUGUCUGACAUUCCCCUGGUGCACACCAUAGUCCUAGGAGAUUAGGAAGGCAAUUGCUGUGUCAACUCAAGGGUGAAGAGAUGCACAGAUGGAUGAAUGGAAGAAGACUUCUAUGCAGCCGAGCAAGCAGCUCAAAGUGAGCUCCAGGCACACUUUUGCUGGGGACUCUUGCAUAUGCUGUUUCUUCCCCCUACAUUCUAGUCCCUCACAUAUGCACAGGCCUCAUACCCUCCCAUCCUGCAGGUCUUAGCUCAGAUAUCAGCUUCUCAGUGAAAGGUUUUCUGCCUACCAGACCCAAAACUGAAAGACCUACCCUUCAUCAUCCCUGCCCUGGGGAGGUCCCUUUUCUGUCUACCUUCCUCCAUAGCACCUGCAAAAAUCUGACAUGCUAGUGUUUAUUGAUUUCUUAUUUAUUUAGUGUUCCUCAUUGGAACACUAAAUUUAGUUCCUCAUUGGAACUAAAACAGUACCUGGGAUAUAGUAAAUAAUCAAUAUUCUUGAAUAAAUGAGUGAAUUAGAAGUCGAACUGACGGGGUUAUGAAGGCAGCAGUUCUUUAGACAAAUUCACACACGUGCCUCUUACUAGCUUUGUUUGAGUCAUGUAACAUCUCUAAACUUUAGUUUCCUUCACAGUGAAAGGCUGGAAAUUGCACAUGCCAUUAGGAAGGGGAGGAGUAAUGUGGCAAUGCUUACAAGGUGCUAGGCACAGAAGAGAGGGUAUUGGUUAAGAGUGCAGCCUCUUAGAGUCAGAGUUCCUGAGCCCAUAUCCCAUUUCUCCACUGAACAGCUGUAUAAGCCUAGGAAACUUACUUGACCCCUCUGUAUUUCAGUUCCUUUGUAAAAUGAAGGCAAAGAACAGCACCUAUUUUACAUGGGUUGUUGAGAAAAUGGAAUUCAUGACACAUAAGGAGUUAGCACCAGAGAAAUGCUAAGGGCUGUCCAAUAGGGACCUUCCAUGAAUAUAAGUGUCUAUUGUCCACCCACAACAAGGAAUCCUGCAGAUAUUAACUAAAUAUAAAAGCAUAAAUAAGCAAGUUCCCACAGUACUCUAUUGAUGUCUUUCCAGCAGCCUUUAUUUAAUUGUUGCAUACUUUUAUCAAGUGCCUAAACUGUACUAGGUACAAGCCAAAUUUUAGAGAUAUAAAAAUGACUACAUCAUGGUCUUGGAUCUCAAGGAAAUUUGAUAUAACUGUAGAAGACCUGUCUUAUUUUCCAUGUAUGACAAACUCCUGGGGCAGGGUGCAAUUAGAUUUGUCUCUAUCACUUCUACUAGGUAGGGACCCAGUAAAUGUUCAUGAAAUAAAGGGAUAGUGAUAAUAUUUUAACAAGUAGCCUAAGGUUCAUGCUUUAAUUAAAUAUCUAGUCCAAAGCUAAUAUAACGAAUCUAGAUUUUUCCACCUAACUUUGAUAAAAAGCUUCUGGCAUCCUAGAGUCUGGAAUCUUGCCAAGUUGAAAAAAAAUUCCCUACUGCAUAUGGGGAUGGGGUAAGUGUUUUAUCUGGAAUAAGGAUGCUGACUGAGCACCAGAAAAUAAACACUAAAAGAAAGGGCUUUGUCAGCUCGCUACCCAUAUCCCUGCGUAUUUCCAACAGGGCCUGACAAUUAAUAAGCACUUGAAAACAAGCAACAACAAAGAGCAAAACUAAAACAAUGCAUACAUGACCAGAAAGGUUAAUUUUCUGCUGUGGAGUUGCUUCUGCACGAUUGGCUGCUGAACCUAAACAGGCAGCUGCCUCAGCAUCCAUUCUCACAGGCUAUUAACAGUACAAGGCACGACACAAAAUAGAAGCUCAAUAAACAUCUGCCAAGUGAAUUGAAAGCAUUAAUCAGCUGGAGACAGACAAGCUGGCUUCUGAUUAUGAUUGUUUCUGGGCCUCCAAUACAUCAUCUAGCAUGAGAAUAAUAAGCAAGGAGUCAUUUCCUACAGCAGUCAUAGAGUUCUAACUUAUUGCAGUUUCCAGUGAGAACAGAUCAGGAUUUUGGUUUCAUUGGGAACAUGUUAUGGGGUUUGGAACUACCAGGGUGGAGUGGAGAUGAGGCUGUAAUCCAUGAUUCAUUUUCUGAGAUCCUCAGCUGUUAAGGAGCACAACGUCAUUAAGGAAGCUAACGUCAUCAUAAUAUACAAUUAUUUGUGAAUAAACUAUUUUUUAAGUGAAAUUAGUUAUCUCUCAAAUGCCCCUCUUUGCUUAACACUAACACCUCUCCCUACUACUGAUUGUAUCAGCAUCAUUAUCAGUUUCUCUUUUUGCUGAUUGUCAGAUGCUACAAAAUCCAAUAAUAUUCAAGUACAGUGCAAAGCAACUACUAAGUGAAAUUAUAAGCCUUGAAAGAAUUGUAGAAUUUUGUGAAGUUAAAUGACAGCAAACUGAUAAAUUCCCUACAAUAUCCUUCACAAAUGUGCACAUGGCAGAGUUGGGCCAGGUAAGAUGUGAGGCUGAGAAAUUAAAAAUAAUAUUAACAUC
Molecule: long non-coding RNA, 2705 nt
Organism: Pan troglodytes (chimpanzee)
Lineage: Eukaryota; Metazoa; Chordata; Mammalia; Primates; Hominidae
Exons: 3
Source: RefSeq, a predicted model, not a curated record